RNAcentral lists this unclassified non-coding RNA (231 nucleotides) under uncultured fungus. Its description in RNAcentral is "sequence contains ITS1, 5.8S rRNA gene". The stretch from base 183 to 231 matches the Rfam family "5.8S ribosomal RNA", at positions 1 to 49 of the family's 154-position model. Lineage: Eukaryota; Fungi. The record is from RNAcentral.
UCUCCGUAGGUGAACCUGCGGAGGGAUCAUUACUGAGUGAGGGUCUCCGGGCCCGACCUCCAACCCUUUUGUGAACCACCUCGUUGCUUCGGGGGCGACCCUGCCGUUCGCGGCGUGGGGCCCCCGGAGCCCAUCAAACACUGCGUUAAUUUGCGUCGGAGUCUUGAUUAAAAUCAAAACAAAACUUUCAACAACGGAUCUCUUGGUUCGGGCAUCGAUGAAGAACGCAGC